GACGAACGCUGGCGGCGUGCUUAACACAUGCAAGUCGAACGGAAAGGCCCUGCUUUUGUGGGGUGCUCGAGUGGCGAACGGGUGAGUAACACGUGAGUAACCUGCCCUUGACUUUCGGAUAACUUCAGGAAACUGGGGCUAAUACAGGAUAGGAGCUCCUGCUGCAUGGUGGGGGUUGGAAAGUUUCGGCGGUGGGGGAUGGACUCGCGGCUUAUCGGCUUGUUGGUGGGGUAGUGGCUUACCAAGGCGUUGACGGGUAGCCGGCCUGAGAGGGUGACCGGCGACAUGGGGACUGAGAGACGGAGCAGUCGCCAACGGGAGGCAGCAGGCGGGAAUAUUGCACAAUGGGCGGAAGUCUGAGGCAGAGACGCUGCGUGCGGGAUGACGGCCUUUGGGUUGUAAACCGCUUUCGCCUGUGACGAAGCGUGAGUGACGGUAAUGAGUAAAGAAGCACCGGCUAACUACGUG
RNAcentral lists this ribosomal RNA (468 nucleotides) under uncultured bacterium. RNAcentral describes it as "partial 16S ribosomal RNA". It matches the Rfam family "Bacterial small subunit ribosomal RNA", at positions 28 to 507 of the family's 1533-position model. The record is from RNAcentral.